RNAcentral lists this unclassified non-coding RNA (308 nucleotides) under Vishniacozyma sp. Its description in RNAcentral is "partial contains 5.8S ribosomal RNA, internal transcribed spacer 2, and large subunit ribosomal RNA". The stretch from base 1 to 52 matches the Rfam family "5.8S ribosomal RNA", at positions 103 to 154 of the family's 154-position model. The record is from RNAcentral. Lineage: Eukaryota; Fungi; Basidiomycota; Tremellomycetes; Tremellales; Bulleribasidiaceae. RNAcentral also lists the same sequence under 2 other names.
AACGCACAUUGCGCCCUCUGGUAUUCCGGAGGGCAUGCCUGUUUGAGUGUCAUUAAUCUCUCACAAAACCAUUUGGUUUCAAACCAUUUGGUUUCUGUCGAAGUUGGGAUGUGCGAAUCCUUUGGGAAUCGCUCUCCUUAAAUGUAUUGGUGCGGCCCGCCGCCCGGUUACACAACGUUCUAGGUUCGUCCAACUCGUUGCUCUCCGGUGCAAUCAUGGUGCAGCACCUUAAGCCCGCCUUGUGCCUCGAGCUCUUGGCUACUUCAUUUAUUGACCUCAGAUCAGGUAGGAAUACGCGCUGAACUUAA